CCGACCUUGGCUCAGUUGGUAGAGCGGAAGACUGUAGUCUUUGACAGCAAAUCUUUAGGUCGCUGGUUCGCUCCGGCAGGUCGGA
Non-coding RNA from Brassica napus (rape), 85 nucleotides. The record is from Rfam. Lineage: Eukaryota; Viridiplantae; Streptophyta; Magnoliopsida; Brassicales; Brassicaceae.